RNAcentral lists this unclassified non-coding RNA (225 nucleotides) under plant metagenome. RNAcentral's name for it is "partial contains small subunit ribosomal RNA, internal transcribed spacer 1, and 5.8S ribosomal RNA". The record is from RNAcentral.
UCUCCGUUGGUGAACCAGCGGAGGGAUCAUUACAGGCCUCGCAAUACUCCUACAACCCUGUGCACUUAACUAUAAGAACGUUGCUUCGGCGGGUGUCUCCGAGGGGGUGCGCCCACCCCGAGAAGAUAAACCCGCGGGCAGCCUACUAUACUCUGUCUCUUUGCGUUGGCAUCUCGAGUACCAUCAAACAAGUUAAAACUUUCAACAACGGAUCUCUUGGUUCUG